This 50-nucleotide transfer RNA is filed under the name Jamides bochus. RNAcentral describes it as "tRNA-Glu". The record is from RNAcentral. Lineage: Eukaryota; Metazoa; Arthropoda; Insecta; Lepidoptera; Lycaenidae.
AUUUAUAUAGUUUAAUAAAAACCUUACAUUUUCAUUGUAAAAAUAAAAUU